CCUACGGGUGGCUGCAGUGAGGAAUAUUGGUCAAUGGCCGAAAGGCUGAACCAGCCAAGUCGCGUGAGUGAAGACGGCCCUACGGGUUGUAAACCUCUUUUGUCGGGGAGCAAAGAGAGUCACGUGUGACUCAUUGAGAGUACCCGAAGAAAAAGCAUCGGCUAACUCCGUCCAAGCAGCCGCGGUAAUACGGAGGAUGCGAGCGUUAUCCGGAUGUAUUGGGUUUAAAGGGUGCUCAGGCGGAGGGGCAAGUCAGCGGUAAAAUUGCGGGGCUCAACCCCGUACUGCCGUUGAAACUGCAUCCCUUGAGUGCGCGAGAAGUAUGCGGAAUGCGUGGUGUAGCGGUGAAAUGCAUAGAUAUCACGCAGAACUCCGAUGGCGAAGGCAGCAUACCGGCGCGCAACUGACGCUCAUGCACGAAAGCGUGGGUAUCGAACAGGAUUAGAUACCCUAGUAGUC
This 459-nucleotide ribosomal RNA is filed under the name uncultured bacterium. RNAcentral's name for it is "partial 16S ribosomal RNA". It matches the Rfam family "Bacterial small subunit ribosomal RNA", at positions 338 to 795 of the family's 1533-position model. The record is from RNAcentral.